UGCGUAGGCGGCCAAAUUAGUCAGGGGUGAAAGCUCGCAGCUCAACUGCGGAAUUGCCUUUGAUACUGUUUGGCUUGAAUCAGGAUGAGGUCAGCGGAAUGUGGCAUGUAGCGGUGAAAUGCAUAGAUAUGCCAUAGAACACCAAUUGCGAAGGCAGCUGACUAGACCUGCAUUGACGCUGAGGCACGAAAGCGUGGGGAGCGAACAGGAUUAGAUACCCUGGUAGUCC
This 229-nucleotide ribosomal RNA is filed under the name uncultured bacterium. RNAcentral describes it as "partial 16S ribosomal RNA". It matches the Rfam family "Bacterial small subunit ribosomal RNA", at positions 568 to 796 of the family's 1533-position model. The record is from RNAcentral.